CCAGCUUUGAGGUCAACGCCAGCUGCCAGACUCAGGGCAAUUAUUGAGCCACUCAUGCUGAUCAUGAAGAUACCCAAAUGGAUACCUCUGCCAUCGCUCACUCAUGUGUCACAGCAUUCCCAGCCACCUUUCUAAAUGGCACCGCUCUACCUAUAUUGACCCAAAGAAAGUGAAGAGGAUGAAGUAGUGGUAGUGAACAGAAUAAAUCCCAUUUACCAAGG
Molecule: long non-coding RNA, 221 nt
Organism: Leopardus geoffroyi (Geoffroy's cat)
Lineage: Eukaryota; Metazoa; Chordata; Mammalia; Carnivora; Felidae
Exons: 2
Source: RefSeq, a predicted model, not a curated record